CUCCAGAUGUUGCUGAACUACAACUCCCAUGAUUCUCAGCCUAUCUAUUUCAGUCAUAGAAUCAUGGGAGUUGUAGUUCAGCAACAUCUGGAG
This 93-nucleotide microRNA precursor is filed under the name Pelobates cultripes (western spadefoot toad). The record is from RNAcentral. Lineage: Eukaryota; Metazoa; Chordata; Amphibia; Anura; Pelobatidae.